UCAAACAAAUUUAAUCAGUUUCUGUGAGGAGGUAAGUUCUAGACUCGACAGCGGCAAAUUAAUGGAUGUCGUAUAUCUGGACUUCUCCAAAGCAUUUGUCACUGUACUGCAUGAAAGGUUAGUAAAUAAAAGGAGAAUGCUUGGACUGGGAGAAAAUGUCUGUAUGUGGGUAAGUAACUUGCUCAGUGAUAGAAAACAGAGGGAGGUUAUUAAUGGUACACACUCAGAUGGGGUCACUGUCACUAGUGGAGUACCU
This is a long non-coding RNA of Bufo bufo (common toad), 256 nucleotides long. RefSeq lists it as uncharacterized. The record is from RefSeq and is a predicted model, not a curated record. The transcript is spliced from 3 exons. NCBI's taxonomy places the organism in Eukaryota, Metazoa, Chordata, Amphibia, Anura, Bufonidae.